Molecule: non-coding RNA, 30 nt
Filed under: Trypanosoma vivax
Lineage: Eukaryota; Euglenozoa; Kinetoplastea; Trypanosomatida; Trypanosomatidae
Source: RNAcentral
AAUCACAUAAACGGCAAUGUAAUACAAUGU